This 253-nucleotide ribosomal RNA is filed under the name uncultured bacterium. RNAcentral's name for it is "partial 16S ribosomal RNA". It matches the Rfam family "Bacterial small subunit ribosomal RNA", at positions 524 to 776 of the family's 1533-position model. The record is from RNAcentral.
UACGUAGGGUGCAAGCGUUGUCCGGAAUUAUUGGGCGUAAAGAGCUCGUAGGCGGCUUGUCGCGUCGGCUGUGAAAACCUGGGGCUCAACCCCGGGCCUGCAGCCGAUACGGGCAAGCUAGAAUUCGGUGGGGGAGACUGGAAUUCCUGGUGUAGCGGUGAAAUGCGCAGAUAUCAGGAAGAACACCCGUGGCUAAGGCGGCUCUCUAGUACGGUACUGACGCUGAGACGCGAAAGCGUGGGGAGCGAACAGG